GCCAGACUCCUACGGGAGGCAGCAGUGGGGAAUAUUGCAUAAUGGGGGAAACCCUGAUGCAGCGACGCCGCGUGAGUGAAGAAGUAAUUCGUUAUGUAAAGCUCUAUCAGCAGGGAAGAAAAUGACGGUACCUGAGUAAGAAGCCCCGGCUAACUACGUGCCAGCAGCCGCGGUAAUACGUAGGGGGCAAGCGUUAUCCGGAUUUACUGGGUGUAAAGGGAGCGUAGGUGGCAUGGCAAGCCAGAAGUGAAAACCCGGGGCUUAACCCCGCGGAUUGCUUUUGGAACUGUCAGGCUGGAGUGCAGGAGGGGCAGGCGGAAUUCCUGGUGUAGCGGUGAAAUGCGUAGAUAUCAGGAGGAACACCGGUGGCGAAGGCGGCCUGCUGGACUGUAACUGACACUGAGGCUCGAAAGCGUGGGGAGCAAACAGGAAUAGAUACCCGGGUACG
This 448-nucleotide ribosomal RNA is filed under the name uncultured bacterium. RNAcentral describes it as "partial 16S ribosomal RNA". It matches the Rfam family "Bacterial small subunit ribosomal RNA", at positions 330 to 793 of the family's 1533-position model. The record is from RNAcentral.